RNAcentral lists this ribosomal RNA (422 nucleotides) under uncultured bacterium. RNAcentral describes it as "SSU rRNA". It matches the Rfam family "Bacterial small subunit ribosomal RNA", at positions 369 to 808 of the family's 1533-position model. The record is from RNAcentral.
CAAUGGNGGAACUCUGAAUGCAGCGACGCCGCGUGAGUGAUGAAGUAAUUCGUUAUGUAAAGCUCUAUCAGCAGGGAAGAUANUGACGGUACCUGACUAAGAAGCUCCGGCUAAAUACGUGCCAGCAGCCGCGGUAAUACGUAUGGAGCAAGCGUUAUCCGGAUUUACUGGGUGUAAAGGGUGCGUAGGUGGUAUGGCAAGUCAGAAGUGAAAGGCUGGGGCUCAACCCCGGGACUGCUUUUGAAACUGUCAAACUAGAGUACAGGAGAGGAAAGCGGAAUUCCUAGUGUAGCGGUGAAAUGCGUAGAUAUUAGGAGGAACACCAGUGGCGAAGGCGGCUUUCUGGACUGAAACUGACACUGAGGCACGAAAGCGUGGGGAGCAAACAGGAUUAGAUACCCUGGUAGUCCAAGGGCGAAUUC